RNAcentral lists this transfer RNA (63 nucleotides) under Glyphotaelius pellucidus. Its description in RNAcentral is "tRNA-Ala". Lineage: Eukaryota; Metazoa; Arthropoda; Insecta; Trichoptera; Limnephilidae. The record is from RNAcentral.
AGGACUGUAAUUUAUAAAAAAUAUUUAAUUUGCACUUAAAAAAAACUUUCCUAGUCUGUCUUA